Lingula anatina is the source of this 72-nucleotide non-coding RNA. Lineage: Eukaryota; Metazoa; Brachiopoda; Lingulata; Lingulida; Lingulidae. The record is from Rfam.
AGCAGAGUGACGCAGUGGAAUCGUGCGGGACCCAUAACCCCGAGGUCCUGGGAUCGAAACCUAGCUCUGCUA